RNAcentral lists this ribosomal RNA (503 nucleotides) under uncultured bacterium. RNAcentral's name for it is "partial 16S ribosomal RNA". It matches the Rfam family "Bacterial small subunit ribosomal RNA", at positions 30 to 523 of the family's 1533-position model. The record is from RNAcentral.
AUUGAACGCUGGCGGCAGGCUUAACACAUGCAAGUCGAGCGGGGUGAUGGUGCUUGCACUAUCACUUAGCGGCGGACGGGUGAGUAAUGCUUAGGAAUCUGCCUAUUAGUGGGGGACAACAUCUCGAAAGGGAUGCUAAUACCGCAUACGUCCUACGGGAGAAAGCAGGGGAUCACUUGUGACCUUGCGCUAAUAGAUGAGCCUAAGUCGGAUUAGCUAGUUGGGGGGGUAAAGGCCUACCAAGGCGACGAUCUGUAGCGGGUCUGAGAGGAUGGACCGGCACACCGGGGCCGGAACACGGCCCAGACUCCCACGGGAAGGAGCAGUGGGGAAUAUUGGACAAUGGGGGGAACCCUGAUCCAGCCAUGCCGCGUGUGUGAAGAAGGCCUUAUGGUUGUAAAGCACUUUAAGCGAGGAGGAGGCUCUUUUGGUUAAUACCCAAGAUGAGUGGACGUUACUCGCAGAAUAAGCACCGGCUAACUCUGUGCCAGCCGCCGCCGUAA